GAUGAACGCUGGCGGCGUGCCUAAUACAUGCAAGUCGAGCGAACGGAUAAGGAGCUUGCUCCUUUGAAGUUAGCGGCGGACGGGUGAGUAACACGUAGGUAACCUACCUAUAAGACUGGAAUAACUUCGGGAAACCGGAGCUAAUGCCGGAUAACAUUUGGAACUGCAUGGUUCUAAAGUAAAAGAUGGUUUUGCUAUCACUUAUAGAUGGACCCGCGCCGUAUUGGCUAGUUGGUAAGGUAACGGCUUACCAAGGCAACGAUACGUAGCCGACCUGAGAGGGUGAUCGGCCACACGGGAACUGAGACACGGUCCAGACUCCUACGGGAGGCAGCAGGAGGGAAUCUUCCGCAAUGGACGAAAGUCUGACGGAGCAACGCCGCGUGAGUGAUGAAGGUUUUCGGAUCGUAAAACUCUGUUAUUAGGGAAGAACAAAUGUGUAAGUAACUGUGCACAUCUUGACGGUACCUAAUCAGAAAGCCACGGCUAACUACGUGCCAGCCGCCGCCGGUAA
This 514-nucleotide ribosomal RNA is filed under the name uncultured bacterium. RNAcentral describes it as "partial 16S ribosomal RNA". It matches the Rfam family "Bacterial small subunit ribosomal RNA", at positions 28 to 523 of the family's 1533-position model. The record is from RNAcentral.